ACUUGUGCCCAGAGUUUGAUUUUCCACAGACCAGGUAGAGGCCAAGAGCCUCUCACAGACUCUGCAGCAGGGUUGCUAUGAUUAACUCUUAAGUACUCCACAACUACACGCUUUUGAAACUGGCGUUGGCAUAGCGUUAGUUCUGUGCAGGGCGGACGCAGCAGGACAGAAUCUCCCUGGGCAUCUUUUCGGAGCAUCAAUUUUACUGCAAAAUUUUGAAAAAACAAAUUUAAUUGAUUUCCAAGGAGCUUCUGUCACUGCAGAACCAGGGUCACCUGUGGAAAAUCCUUGCUGAAGCCAUCUCCCUGUCUGCCUGUCCCUCAGGCCCAGGAGUCAUGAGUCCUUUCUCCAAUAAGUCAUUCAGUUGGCUGGCAGCAAACCCUGGUUUGUCAAGGAGGACAGAAACUCAGAGCACCCUGCACUUGGGGAUCGGCACUAGGAGCUGCUCUCUGGAUGGGGAGAUGGGAGCUAGCAGCUCACAAUGGGGUCACAAGAAUAUUGGUUCUUCUUUUAUCUGAAGUGAGGAGCACCAGAGGACUGAUCACGGCAUAGACAUUGACUACAAGACUCUGAACUUGCUG
This 581-nucleotide long non-coding RNA is filed under the name Homo sapiens (human). RNAcentral's name for it is "HSALNT0341095". The record is from RNAcentral. Lineage: Eukaryota; Metazoa; Chordata; Mammalia; Primates; Hominidae.